UUUGGAGAAAAUCACAUCAUUCCUAAGAAGAUAAGUUUGUGUAUUGUACCAACCUUACUGUAUAUUUUGAGAUAACAACUAAAAAUCUUUCCCUCUGAAUUUGUAUCCCAGCUUUAAUUUCAUAUGGACUUAUUACUUAGAAGUUAUAAGAUUUUAACACCCAUUUAAGCUGGAUCUAAUACGAUCUUAAUUUUAAAAUAUUUAAUUUGGAACACUUCAAAAACAGAAAAAUUUUUUAAAAUCCAAAUAAGUUCCCUAAUCAAAAGAAAAUAUUUUUGUUAAAAUGUUGCUUAUAUAAAUAUAGUGCUUUUAAAUUUUAUCUCUCUAGAAAACUACCAUUCAAGUUUUACUAAAGUCACUAUACAUUAAUUGAGGUUUCAUGCUUUUGAAUCAAAAUUUAUCAAAAUAUAUGGAAAUGUUUGACAUUAUAUUGUAUUUAUACCAUAUGCUAUUUCAAAUAGUACAUUGUGGAGAACACUGAGUUUAUAAAAUCUCUGAAAUUGUUAGGUAACUUAGAAGUGAACUUCCUUUUAAUUCUGAGUACAUGAAAGUUCCAGUUCUGAAAUAUAUAUAUAUAUAUAUAUAUAUAUAUAUAUAUAUAUAUAUAUAUGCAUAUGCAUAUAUAUGUACAUGUGACACACACAUAUAUAUAUAUUUCAUGUUAUGUGCAUAUCAUUUAUAAAACUUAAAUCUAGAUGUAGGCCUGGAUGUUUUAUAAUUAAACCUAGUUAUUGUAAGGAUUAAUACAGUCUUGUCUAGUUAAAUGCUGAAGAGUUAUUUGAGGAAGAAAAAAAAAAAAAAAAACCUCAGCAGUUAAGGGCAUGCCCUGCCCUUGAGGAGGACCCUAACUUCAUCCCCAUCACCUCUGUCCUGCAGUUUACAACUAUUAGUAACUCCUGCUCUGUGGAAAUUCAAAUCUUUGGCCUCUGUGGACACCUGUACUCAUGCACAUGUUCACACAAAGAUAAAUAUAUCCAGAUAAUUAAAAAUAAAAUAAAACCUUAAAGAAAUUAUUUCUUAGUGUCUUUAAUAAUCAGGUUGCCUGUUCAUUAUUUUAAUCCUAACCAGUAGCCAAAUUUUGCAUGAUAGUUUGUUCGUUCCAGUUCAAAUAGAUGGAUGAAACUAAAAAAGAAAAAAAAUCUCUUGGGAAGAGUAGGUAGAAGGUUUAGAAAUCUGUGAUGGUACAAUAGGGGACAGAGUAGGGGCUGAAAGCCAGGUACUUUAUGUAAGAUAUAAAGAGUCAAGAUAGGUGUAUAGUGAACUUGUUUCUUUUCUUUUCUUUUCUUUUCUUUUCUUUUCUUUUCUUUUGUUUUCUUUUCUUUUCUUUUCUUCUUUUAUAAGAUAUUUUCUUUAUUUACAUUUCAAAUGUUAUUCCCUUUUCCUACUUUACCCUCCAAAAAUCUGCUAUCCCCUCUCCCUUCCCCCUGCUCACCAACCCACCCACUCCCACUUCCUGGCCCUGGCAUUCCCCAAUUUUUUCAUAAAUAAGAUAUGAUCUCUGAUCUGUGCCAUGCUAAGACUAUGUGUCAUAUGCCCUCUAUUUUGAGAGUGAAAAU
Molecule: long non-coding RNA, 1556 nt
Filed under: Mus musculus (house mouse)
Lineage: Eukaryota; Metazoa; Chordata; Mammalia; Rodentia; Muridae
Description: long non-coding RNA chr12:90264133-90265689
Source: RNAcentral